RNAcentral lists this transfer RNA (72 nucleotides) under Ancoracysta twista. RNAcentral's name for it is "tRNA-Asn". It matches the Rfam family "tRNA". From Rfam's summary of the family: Transfer RNA (tRNA) molecules are approximately 80 nucleotides in length. Lineage: Eukaryota; Nebulidia; Nebulidea; Nebulidida; Ancoracystidae. The record is from RNAcentral.
UUCCCAUAAGCUUUGGAGGCUAAGCGCCUGACUGUUAAUCAUGAGAAGUAGGUUCGACUCCUACAUGGGAAG